UAGAAGUAAGUGAAUAAGGGCGCACGGGGGAUGCCUAGGCUCUCAGAGGCGAAGAAGGACGUGAUAAGCUGCGAAAAGCUACGGGGAUCGGCCAAUGCGAUUUGAUCCGUAGAUGUCCGAAUGGGGCAACCCAGUCUUUUAAGACUAUUCCGUAAGGAAAGCGAACGUGGGGAACUGAAACAUCUAAGUACCCAUAGGAGGAGAAAAUAAUAAUGAUUCCGUAAGUAGUGGCGAGCGAAAGCGGAACAGCCCAAACCGAUUAUGUUACGGCAUAAUCGGGGUUGUAGGACCUGUAUAAUUGAUAACAAUCCGACGAGAAUAGCGUGGGAAAGCUAACCAGAGGGGGUGAGAGUCCCGUAUUGGAAGGAUUGUUUGAGAGACGGGUAUCCUGAGUAGGUCGGGACCGGAGAAAUCCCGAUUGAAACUGCCGGCACCAUCCGGUAAGGCUAAAUACUCCUGAGAGACCGAUAGUGAACUAGUACCGUGAGGGAAAGGUGAAAAGUACCGUGAAUAACGGGGUGAAAUAGAACCUGAAACCGUGCGCUUACAAGCGGUCGGAGCUACUUUGUGUAGUGACGGCGUGCCUUUUGCAUAAUGAGCCUACGAGUUACUCCUCAUCGGCAAGGGUAAGGUAUUAAGUACCGCACCCGGAGCGAAAGCGAGUCUGAAAGGGCGAUUGAGUCGGUGGGGGUAGACGCGAAACCUAGUGAUCUACCCAUGGCCAGGUUGAAGUUGUGGUAACACACAAUGGAGGACCGAACCGAUAAACGUUGAAAAGUUUCCGGAUGAGCUGUGGGUAGGGGUGAAAGGCUAAUCAAACUGGGAAAUAGCUCGUACUCCCCGAAAUGUUUUUAGGAACAGCGUCGUGAAUUGUAUGAUGGAGGUAGAGCUACCGAUAGGACUAGGGGGAGUCAAAUCCUACCAAAUCCUGACGAACUCCGAAUGCCAUCAUAUAGAAGCGGCAGUGAGGGCUUGGGUGCUAAGGUCCAAGUCCGAGAGGGAAAGAACCCAGACCUUCCGCUAAGGUCCCAAAAUCUAUGUUAAGUUGAACAAAGGUGGUCCAGUUGCAGAGACAGCCAGGAGGUUAGCUUGGAAGCAGCUAUUCCUUUAAAGAGUGCGUAACAGCUCACUGGUCGAGCGACAGGGCGUCGAUAAUAAUCGGGCAUCAAACAUAGUACCGAAGCGAAGGAUUGUAUCCUGAUUUAUCAGGAGCAGUGGUAGGGGAGCAUUCUAACGACAGUGAAGGUAUGGCGUCAGCCGUGCUGGAGUUUUUAGAAAAGCAAAUGUAGGCAUAAGUAACGAUAAUGCGGGCGAGAAACCCGCACACCGUAAGACCCAGGUUUCCUGAUCAACGCUAAUCGGAUCAGGGUUAGUCGGGACCUAACGCGAACCCGAAAGGGGUAGUGGAUGGACAAUGGAUUAAUAUUUCCAUACUAAUUAUACGAGUGAUGGAGUGACGGAGUGAUGAAAGAUCCGCGCGGUGACGGAAUACCGCGUUAAAGGUAGUAGGUAUUGGACCCAUAGUUAAAUGCGUGAGUCUAGCCGAAGCUGAUAGUACUGAGCGUUUACGGACAAUCAGAUAGUGAUCCUAAGGGCUUCCAAGAAAAACUUCUAGCGUUAAGAGUAUAAUUACCCGUACCGCAAACCGACACAGGUGGUCGAGGAGAGUAUCCUAAGGUGCUCGAGUGAAUCAUGGCUAAGGAACUCGGCAAAAUAGCCCUGUAACUUCGGGAGAAGGGGCGCCUCUAGCAAUAGAGGCCGCAGUGAAGAGGCCCAGGCGACUGUUUAACAAAAACACAUGGCUUUGCAAAGUUUAAAGACUAAGUAUAAGGCCUGACACCUGCCCGGUGCUGGAAGGUUAAGAGGGGAUGUUAUCGUAAGAGACGCAUUGAAUCGAAGCCCCAGUAAACGGCGGCCGUAACUAUAACGGUCCUAAGGUAGCGAAAUUCCUUGUCGGGUAAGUUCCGACCUGCACGAAUGGUGUAACGAUCUGGGCACUGUCUCAGCCAUGAGCUCGGUGAAAUUGUAGUCGCGGUGAAGAUGCCGCGUACCCGCAACGGGACGGAAAGACCCCAUGCACCUUUACUGCAACUUAGUAUUGGUACUGGACAAAUGAUGUGUAGGAUAGGUGGGAGACUUUGAAGCGGGUUCGCUAGGAUUCGUGGAGUCACUGUUGAAAUACCACCCUUUGUUUGUUUGGUAUCUAACCCCU
Molecule: ribosomal RNA, 2212 nt
Filed under: Algoriphagus aquimarinus
Lineage: Bacteria; Pseudomonadati; Bacteroidota; Cytophagia; Cytophagales; Cyclobacteriaceae
Description: bacterial LSU rRNA
Rfam family: Bacterial large subunit ribosomal RNA
Source: RNAcentral